AUAGGCCCUGUAAUUUUCCCUAUUGAAAAGUCUCUGCACGAAUUUUUUUUUCAGACAUUUCUGGUGCACGAAUUUUUUUUUCUUUCUAUUUUCCCUGCUCGAAUUUUAUUUUUGUUCCCCCCCCCCCCAAUCACUUUUCUAAUGGUCCGCCCCUAAGAGUUUGCUCGUUUGACCGGUAAUAGACCCAUUGCACUGACGUCACAAAUCCUUGGAGUGUCCUCCAGAUGCUCCCCAACAAUAUCUGUUCGGGUACAACAACCACAUACAGCGCAAAAAUGAACCAUUUUAAUACAAAAUUAUUAUAAACUUUUACAAAAUUUGCUUUGUUUACAAAAGUUAUAUUAUGCAUAGAUUGCUAAUUUGUCCUCCAGAUGCAUCGUCAACUCUCAUCAGUUCAGAAAACUUUCAUCAGCAAACCCAUUGCCAAGUCAAAUCCGAGUCAAUUACGAGCCCGAGUCAAACGUCCAAGUCAUGUAUAAAAAAGACGAAAUUGAAUAAAAUUCACAAUCGAAUAGGGUUAGGAGUAGUGUUAGGGUUAGGAGUAGAGUUAGGGCAGUAAGUCAUUGAACUACAAAGACCGCUAAACGGUGACUCGGACAUUUGACUCGGUUUACCCCUCGCCUGUCAACUGUCAUCCUUGUUUAAGCAGGGCAUAAUAUUUGAGAUAACGAUGAUAUCGUACUGGCUUCGUUUGUUCAAUCUCUUACGCAAUAAAAAUAGCGGGAAUUAUUCAUUAAAGAACCAAGGCGAAUUCGUCGAGACGUUUAAGACUUCUUCUAAUAUAAAUACGGCCAAUCUAAACUAUUUUCAGCAAGGGGCAUUUCCCUCAAAAAUCUCGUACACUUUGUCAAAAAAAUCCCCUAAUCUGUUUUUUUCCAACAUUCAUAAUGAAUGACCUAAACACAAGAAAGCUUCAGGAAAACAGUUCCCGCUUUUUGGCAAAUACAUUUUAUUUAUAUUUUCACUGUACUUUAGAAACAUCGUUGUCUAUAAAGAUUUUGUAUAAUGUUGUCAAUUGAUAGACAUUUAAAACUUAAUGAUCGGUAGAUAGAUAUCAUAUAAAAAAUAAUAAAAGCACAUUCAUA
Molecule: non-coding RNA, 1085 nt
Organism: Paramuricea clavata
Lineage: Eukaryota; Metazoa; Cnidaria; Anthozoa; Malacalcyonacea; Plexauridae
Source: the annotation of a GenBank genome assembly